AAGUCGUAACAAGGUUUCCGUAGGUGAACCUGCGGAAGGAUCAUUAACAAAUUUUCCCAACCAACCCCCCCAAACGUAAUGUGAACUGUUAUCAAAGCCCUGCGACGUGGAGUCUCAAGUCUGGCCGAGGCGCUGGGCGUGUGCGGCUGCUCUUGUUCUGCCUGGCAUCAUCGCUAUGCCUAGCAUUAUGAUAGAGUGGUCGACGUGCCUAGCGCCGUGUCUAGGCCUCCAUGUCCACUUAUUUACCACCUCCAAACGACUACCACUAGAACUGAGACUUUAUGAUGAAAAAUAAAGACAACUUUUAGCAACGGAUCUCUAGGCUCUC
RNAcentral lists this unclassified non-coding RNA (328 nucleotides) under fungal sp. RNAcentral's name for it is "partial internal transcribed spacer region". The stretch from base 1 to 46 matches the Rfam family "Eukaryotic small subunit ribosomal RNA", at positions 1786 to 1831 of the family's 1831-position model. Lineage: Eukaryota; Fungi. The record is from RNAcentral.